AAGGGUGGGGAUGACGUACAAGUCCUCAUGGCCCUUUAUGACCAGGGCUACACACGUACUACAAUGGCCGAUACAAAGGGCAGCGACACUGCGAGGUGAAAGCCAAAUCCCGUAAAAUCGGUCUCAGUCCGGAUUGGAGUCUGACAACUCGACUCCAUGAAGUUGGAAUCGCUAGUAAUCGUGGAUCAGCAUGCCACGGUGAAUACGUUCCCGGGCCUU
This 219-nucleotide ribosomal RNA is filed under the name uncultured Lachnospiraceae bacterium. RNAcentral's name for it is "partial 16S ribosomal RNA". It matches the Rfam family "Bacterial small subunit ribosomal RNA", at positions 1169 to 1382 of the family's 1533-position model. The record is from RNAcentral. Lineage: Bacteria; Bacillati; Bacillota; Clostridia; Lachnospirales; Lachnospiraceae.